Long non-coding RNA from Labeo rohita (rohu), 809 nucleotides. RefSeq lists it as uncharacterized. The transcript is spliced from 4 exons. The record is from RefSeq and is a predicted model, not a curated record. Lineage: Eukaryota; Metazoa; Chordata; Actinopteri; Cypriniformes; Cyprinidae.
AUAUACUGUUUUUUUCAACAGGGUUUCACUCUAUCUGGAAGAUCAUACAGUCAUCCCAUCAGGAUAUUGAAAUAUGAAUAAAACAAUGAUUGGAUGAACAUUACACAGUGAAAGAUAUUUUGUCGCAUGAAGGUAAUAAACUGAAGCUAUUAAGACUUUCCCUGGCUGAAACAUAAAAAAUGGGUUCUAGUGCAUCACAAGAGGACCAAGAGCCCUUGUUAGAACAUGAUGAAGAAAUUGAGCCUAUUUUUGAGGAACUUAAACUUGUGCUGAUUGGAAGUCAUGGUGCUGGGAAAAACACUAUUGCUAAUGCCAUCCUCAAGGAAAAGGUUUUCACCUUCUGGACAUUUUAUAAAGUGUCCACAUGAAGGAGACUCGUAGAGUAUCAGGAACACAGAUUCAUUUGGCUCGCACCCCAGGCUGGAGAGGAGACUUGAGUCGAUCAGAGAAAACAAAAUGUGAAAUUGUUCACUGUGUGCAGUCUUUAUACAAUUCUGGACCUCACGCAGUCAUCUUGGCUCUUAAAGUGAACUCAGUGCUGUCAGAGUCAAACAUCAGCACCCUAGAGAGUCUGCUUACUGUUCAGCUGUGGGAACAUACCAUAGUGCUGUUCACACAUGGAGAAAAACUGGGAGGUUAUACCAUUGAGGAUUAUAUUAGAUGUCAGAAGCUUCAACCUUUAAUCAGAAAUGUGGAGAAAGAUAUUUUGUGAUCCGCAACAAUGACAGCAACCAGAUUAUUGAGAUAAUUGAAAAGCUCAUUGUCAGGAAGAAUUCAGCAAGUUGUUUUAAACUUACUGCUCAGACAGA